Molecule: non-coding RNA, 46 nt
Filed under: Schistosoma mattheei
Lineage: Eukaryota; Metazoa; Platyhelminthes; Trematoda; Strigeidida; Schistosomatidae
Source: RNAcentral
GAAUUGUUGAAGAGUCCCACAAUAAGACGAAACGGCCGUCCAAUGC